This 1076-nucleotide unclassified non-coding RNA is filed under the name leaf metagenome. Its description in RNAcentral is "partial contains internal transcribed spacer 1, 5.8S ribosomal RNA, internal transcribed spacer 2, and large subunit ribosomal RNA". The stretch from base 549 to 1076 matches the Rfam family "Eukaryotic large subunit ribosomal RNA", at positions 1 to 537 of the family's 3401-position model. The record is from RNAcentral.
GACAUUAGCGAGUUACCGCAAAACUCCAUAACCCUUUGUGAACCUACCUACUGUUGCCUCGGCGUCGCGCUGCGGCUGACGCCCGCCCCUACCCGCCCUACCCGGGAGAGGAGGGGGCGGGCCUCAGCCGGCUGAACCAGCCCGCCAAAGGACCUACAAACCAAACCCUAAAUCAAACGUACCUUCUGAAAGAAUCAACUUUGAAACUUAAAUAAGUCAAAACUUUCAACAACGGAUCUCUUGGCUCUGGCAUCGAUGAAGAACGCAGCGAAAUGCGAUAAGUAAUGUGAAUUGCAGAAUUCAGUGAAUCAUCGAAUCUUUGAACGCACAUUGCGCCCGCCAGCAUUCUGGCGGGCAUGCCUAUCCGAGCGUCAUUACGACCCUUAAGCCCCCCGGGCUUAGCGUUGGGAUUCCGCGCCUUCCGGGGCGCGGUUCCCUAAAGCCAUCGGCGGCGCCGCGGCUCCACUUCUGAGCGUAGUAAUCUACAGUUCCUCGCCCCUGAAGUGGCCGCGGCCGCCUGCCGCAAAACCCCACCAACUCUCAGUGGUUGACCUCGGAUUAGGUAGGGAUACCCGCUGAACUUAAGCAUAUCAAUAAGCGGAGGAAAAGAAACCAACAGGGAUUGCCCCAGUAACGGCGAGUGAAGCGGCAACAGCUCAAAUUUGAAAUCUGGCCCUCGCGGUCCGAGUUGUAAUUUGCAGAGGAUGCUUUGGGCGCGGCGCCUUCCGAGUUCCCUGGAACGGGACGCCGGAGAGGGUGAGAGCCCCGUACGGUUGGACGCCUAGCCCUUGUAUAGCUCCUUCGACGAGUCGAGUAGUUUGGGAAUGCUGCUCUAAAUGGGAGGUAAAUUUCUUCUAAAGCUAAAUACCGGCCAGAGACCGAUAGCGCACAAGUAGAGUGAUCGAAAGAUGAAAAGCACUUUGAAAAGAGGGUUAAAUAGCACGUGAAAUUGUUGAAAGGGAAGCGUUUGCGACCAGACCUCUUCCGGGCGGAUCAUCCGGCGUUCUCGCCGGUGCACUCCGCCCCGGAUUAGGCCAGCAUCGGUUCCUCUAGGGGGAUAAAGGCGGGGGGAACGU